CCGCCCUUAGCUCAGCUGGAUAGAGCGUGCCCCUCCGGAGGGCAAGGCCAGAGGUUCGAAUCCUCUAGGGCGGGCCA
RNAcentral lists this transfer RNA (77 nucleotides) under Oceanospirillaceae bacterium. RNAcentral describes it as "tRNA-Arg". It matches the Rfam family "tRNA". From Rfam's summary of the family: Transfer RNA (tRNA) molecules are approximately 80 nucleotides in length. Their secondary structure includes four short double-helical elements and three loops (D, anti-codon, and T loops). The record is from RNAcentral. Lineage: Bacteria; Pseudomonadati; Pseudomonadota; Gammaproteobacteria; Oceanospirillales; Oceanospirillaceae.